Molecule: long non-coding RNA, 454 nt
Filed under: Mustela putorius furo (domestic ferret)
Lineage: Eukaryota; Metazoa; Chordata; Mammalia; Carnivora; Mustelidae
Description: lncRNA (ENSMPUG00000031230.1)
Source: RNAcentral
GUAUCUUCUUUUUGACCUGCUCCACCAUCCUGCUGGCUGAAACAUGCUUAUUCACUGGGGAUUCUAUGAUCGGGAAGGGUUCCGGAAAGAGAAGGAGCAAGAAGAAACGAAGUUAGAAGCUGAAAGCAAUCCCACCAUGAGAAAAAACCUUUAUUUAUCGCAUUCCAUUUCUGCUGGUCUCCAGGCAUCCUGAAGGACACAGUCAUCAGAACUGCCACCGAGGAGAGUUUUUUUUUUUCUUUUCUUCCUCCCCUCCCCCACAAUCACCAUAAAAUUGGCCCCCACACUGCCGACCCAAAAAGCAGGGAUGUAGGGUGGUUCUUCUCUCAACUUGACAUUUUACUUGUUUUUCAAAAGAAUAGUGACUAAGAACCUCAUGAAAUCUAAAUAUGGUUACUGAUAGAAAUUUAGAUUGUCACCAAAAGCACAAUAAAAAUUUAUAUGGUAAGGAAAA